AUUUCUUAGCUGGAUGGGUGAAGUGUUCCCUCAGUUCACAUAGACCAGGCUUCCUCUUUAGAGGCAUAAGCUGUAAAACAGGAGAGUCUGUUUUAAGAGGAUCUGUUUGAAGUUUAAUGUAACUGAAGUCCAUGCACCUGAAGCCAUUAAUUGAUAUAAGUGAAGUAAGUCUUUGGGUUUCCGGUAGCUCUGACUCAGAUUCUGCUUGCCUCUUCUCCAUGAGAUUACCAAGGCAUCAGGGCAGAGACUCCCUGAGGAUGAGUGGAUCUGGUUCAGAACAUCUGUGAACACAGAGGGAGUGGAAACUUCACUUUCAACAUCAUCAGCCAACUUCCCUCCCAUUACAAUUCUAUCUCAAGAUCAAGGUCAUGCAACAAAACCAGCAGAGAUGCUAAAGAACAAUGAACAAUUACAUGUUCAAAAAGCAAGCAGAAAACGAAGAAUGAGGAAUAAAAGACCUGUUUAAUCUUAAAAUUAGAUAAGUAAUAUUUGAAUAAUUGUGCUUUGACUAGAAUAAUAGCAUAGCUUCUGCCCAUGACGGACCCUUGAUAAAUGUUUGCUUGAGUGAAUAAAAGAACUGAC
RNAcentral lists this long non-coding RNA (582 nucleotides) under Homo sapiens (human). RNAcentral's name for it is "novel transcript". The record is from RNAcentral. Lineage: Eukaryota; Metazoa; Chordata; Mammalia; Primates; Hominidae.